RNAcentral lists this ribosomal RNA (253 nucleotides) under uncultured bacterium. RNAcentral describes it as "partial 16S ribosomal RNA". It matches the Rfam family "Bacterial small subunit ribosomal RNA", at positions 524 to 776 of the family's 1533-position model. The record is from RNAcentral.
UACGAAGGGGGCGAGCGUUGUUCGGAAUUACUGGGCGUAAAGGGCGCGUAGGCGGCGACCCAAGUCAGAUGUGAAAGUCCUGGGCUUAACCUGGGGACUGCAUUUGAUACUGGGUUGCUUGAAUUCGGGAGAGGAUAGCGGAAUUCCCAGUGUAGAGGUGAAAUUCGUAGUUAUUGGGAAGAACACCGGUGGCGAAGGCGGCUAUCUGGACCGACAUUGACGCUGAGGCGCGAAAGCGUGGGGAGCAAACAGG